AGCUGGUUGACUUCUGGCCUUCCAUCGCUUACCUAGCAACCUUGUCUCUCUGUGCUAAGUAUUUCUAAGUCAACUCUUUGAUUUCCAUUUACUUCCAUGGAUUUGUUGGUGACUGCUAGAGACAUCCAAACUAAUGGGUUACCUUGACCUUCAACUCUUCCAAGCAGAUUCUCAAAGCUACAGAGGAAGCAGGAAGUUAUACACAACUCGAAGGUGGCAGAUGAGAAAGUUGCCUUAGUUUCAGAAGAGGGGCUGCAGACCCUAUCUAGCAGACCUGCUAGACGUCCAACCUGGGAUAGGAUUUUAAAAGCUAAGAAAAUCUGAAUUAAAACGGCCAGUGAUGGUCAUCUUACUGGGGCUGAUCUUGACAGGAAUGUAGCAACAGAUGACAUAAAAUUCUGUGCUGAGUGGUCCUAUCAUGUGCCCUGACUGGGAAUGGAACUGUGACCAUCUGGUUCAUAGGUUAACGCUCAACCACUCACACCAGUCAAGCAAGGUGGAGAUUCUUGUUCAUAUUCUUCAUGUGUUCCC
Long non-coding RNA from Myotis brandtii (Brandt's bat), 531 nucleotides. RefSeq lists it as uncharacterized. The transcript is spliced from 4 exons. The record is from RefSeq and is a predicted model, not a curated record. Lineage: Eukaryota; Metazoa; Chordata; Mammalia; Chiroptera; Vespertilionidae.